Salvia hispanica is the source of this 803-nucleotide non-coding RNA. The record is from RefSeq and is a predicted model, not a curated record. NCBI's taxonomy places the organism in Eukaryota, Viridiplantae, Streptophyta, Magnoliopsida, Lamiales, Lamiaceae.
UCAGGGAUAGUAAAUGGAAAAAAGAAAAUAAGAGUGUGUCUCACUUGUUUCUCAAACCCAUUUCUAGUUGCAUCUCUGUUGGAAAGUGCGAAGCGCGUUCUCGCCGGCAACUGGACUUAUAUAUCUACCCGAGUCACAAGCCCACACAAAAUCGCAGAAUAAUUCGUUGAGUGAUUGUAUUACUAUUAGAUACGUAGAAAACAAAUUCGAUUAUUUGGGUUUGAAGAAACCCGUGUCAGCGUAUUUUCGUUAAAGCUUCUUUUCUUUCCUCCCCGUUGUCAGCGACAGGAAGGAGCGAAGCAACUCAGGACAUGGCUGUUGACAAAGUUAUAACUUCACCUCAUCGGAGGUCGCAGACACAGACUGCAUUCUCUCCACCUUCACCUAGGAAGCAACACUUGCGAGACACAGAACUGGGAAGCUGCACAACCCUUGUUCAGAGACAUCAAUUCCUCCUGAUAGCCCUCGCACUCCUUGUAGUUCUGUGCACUAUUUAUCUUUACUUUGCUGUGACUCUUGGGUCUGCCGAUGAAUGCUCCAACUUGGUGGGGGCUCAAAAGGCAACGUGUCGUCUUCAAUUGUUGAAAGCUUCUGCAGCGAAGGGGAAAUUGAAAUUCCUUUAGGAAAAGGGCUAUUUAUACCUUGCCCUGUCUCCCGAGUUAAGUGCCAAAAUUGUUUGAAAUAUCCUAGGCUUAUUUUAUUCCUUACCAAGCUCACUGAUUUUUGGUGUAUAUUCAGAAAGCAAUAUGCUUUGAUACAUUUUCUAUGUAACUUAUGGUACUUGUGAAAUUCGUAUUUCUAAA